RNAcentral lists this small RNA (1046 nucleotides) under Rattus norvegicus (Norway rat). RNAcentral describes it as "uncharacterized LOC102548461". Lineage: Eukaryota; Metazoa; Chordata; Mammalia; Rodentia; Muridae. The record is from RNAcentral.
CGGGGCCGAACGCCAGCCCCGCCCCCUGCCCGCUGCAAGAGGGGAGCUGUCCCUGAAGGGGAAAGGACGCAGGAUCCUUUGCUCCAGACUCUUCCUCGUAUCUACAAUAAGAACCUCCCCUCAACCAUGCCUUGGAGAGACCAUUGAAGUGGAAACCUAGGGGGUCUUUGGAAAGUCGAUUGGAUGGUGUUUUGCUGGGGCAAACACAUGAAGGAACGAUUCCUUAAAGUGGACACAGCUUCCCAUUUGUAGGCUAAGAUCCUGGAGAUUCACUGCCCCAAGCUGAGGCUCUUCCUUGCCACAGGAGCACUUCGAGACUCGUGUCUUUCUCAGUCAACAUCAGAAGAGUGUCCUCCUGCAGUAGACGAGAACAAAUACAGAGACCCACAGCUGGACUAUGUGCAGAGAGUGAGAGAUUUUCCAACACUCAGUUCUAACUGGGAUGUCUUCAUCACAUUUCUCCCCGAAGGGCUCAGGGAACUCUGUGGAAGAGAUGGCAGAAAGAGACAAGGAAUGGAAGACACCAAGGAAACAAGGCCCUCUAAACACAGUAAGACUGGUACACACAUGAACUCACAGAGACUGUGGCAGCAUGCACAGGCCUACCUGGGUCUAAGCCCGAUGGGGUCCCAGGACCAAGAAGGGAAGUAAGCAGAAGCCCAUGUUCUUAACCCUCAGUACCCAACAAAACCCCAACCCCAACUGCCCCUCCUUCAUCACCAUAUCCCGGCCUACAUCUCCAGUGGCCUCCUAUCCCCUCAGAGGCCAGGCCAGAAUCCUGAAAACCAGGCAGAAAUCUCCUAUUCCACCAGAGAACAGGCCAGAAUCCUCAACUCCAGAGGACCCCCAGGGCCAUCAGAAGGCACACACAUCAACAGACCUUCAGACCCAAAUGUGGGGAGAAACCCCCUACUUAACAAGAGUCAUUCAGGCCAUAAGAAGUCCAGUUCCCAACUCAGGUGGAGAUCCUCUAUUCAACAACAGGCCACUCCAGCCAGAAGACCAGAUAGGAAACAGAAACCAAGGGAUAAAACACCCAUCCAACA